AUUGAACGCUGGCGGCAUGCCUUACACAUGCAAGUCGAACGGCAGCACGGGUGCUUGCACCUGGUGGCGAGUGGCGCACGGGUGAGUAAUACAUCGGAACAUGUCCUGUAGUGGGGGAUAGCCCGGCGAAAGCCGGAUUAAUACCGCCUACGAUCCACGGAUGAAAGCGGGGGCCCUUCGGGCCUCGCGCUUUAGGGUUGGCCGAUGGCUGAUUAGCUAGUUGGUGGGGUAAAGGCCUACCAAGGCGACGAUCAGUAGCUGGUCUGAGAGGACGACCAGCCACACUGGGACUGAGACACGGCCCAGACUCCUACGGGAGGCAGCAGUGGGGAAUUUUGGACAAUGGGCGAAAGCCUGAUCCAGCAAUGCCGCGUGUGUGAAGAAGGCCUUCGGGUUGUAAAGCACUUUUGUCCGGAAAGAAAACCUUGGCUCUAAUACAGUCGGGGGAUGACGGUACCGGAAGAAUAAGCACCGGCUAACUACGUG
This 486-nucleotide ribosomal RNA is filed under the name uncultured bacterium. Its description in RNAcentral is "partial 16S ribosomal RNA". It matches the Rfam family "Bacterial small subunit ribosomal RNA", at positions 30 to 507 of the family's 1533-position model. The record is from RNAcentral.